Molecule: ribosomal RNA, 200 nt
Filed under: uncultured eukaryote
Lineage: Eukaryota
Description: partial 18S ribosomal RNA
Rfam family: Eukaryotic small subunit ribosomal RNA
Source: RNAcentral
AGCUCCAAUAGCGUAUAUUUAAGUUGCUGCAGUUAAAAAGCUCGUAGUUGGAUUUCGGGUGGGGCCUGCCGGUCCGCCGUUUCGGUGUGCACUGGCCGGGCCACCUUGUUGCCGGGGACGGGCUCCUGGGCUUCACUGUCCGGGACUCGGAGUCGGCGAGGUUACUUUGAGGAAAUUAGAGUGUUUCAAGCAGGCACACG